UACGAAGGGGGCUAGCGUUGUUCGGAAUUACUGGGCGUAAAGCGCACGUAGGCGGAUACUUAAGUCAGGGGUGAAAUCCCGGGGCUCAACCCCGGAACUGCCUUUGAUACUGGGUAUCUCGAGUCCGGAAGAGGUGAGUGGAAUUCCGAGUGUAGAGGUGAAAUUCGUAGAUAUUCGGAGGAACACCGGUGGCGAAGGCGGUUCUCUGGGCCUGUACUGACGCUGAGGAGCGAAAGCGUGGGGAGCGAACAGG
RNAcentral lists this ribosomal RNA (253 nucleotides) under uncultured bacterium. RNAcentral describes it as "partial 16S ribosomal RNA". It matches the Rfam family "Bacterial small subunit ribosomal RNA", at positions 524 to 776 of the family's 1533-position model. The record is from RNAcentral.